UAAUAAAUAAUACUACAGAAACUACUGGCUUUGCUCUUUAUGUAAAUGUGAACUGAAUUUCUGCAUGCCAAAAAGCAAAAAUUAUAAAAAAAAUAAAAAAGCGACUGCAAACGCAAUGUAACAAUAAUAAUAAUAGUUAUUUUAGCCAAAAACAACAAGCGCCUAACUAUGUUAGUGCCAUGGAAACAUACGCGGCUGUAACAGCAAAAAAACCUUGGACUUCAACAAGUGGAAAAGCGGCUUUCGAGAAUGCAAACACGUACAGCGUCUUCAAGGACACAUAUAAACAACAUCGCCGCAGCGCCUUGAUGGCGCCAAUGUUAGGAUGCACUACUUUCAAUAAGCUCGCUUCAUUGUAUAAUAUGUCCCUGCAUAAGCAAUAUAAAAACCUAAUUUCCAAUCAAACCGGUGACACCCCAACCAGCAGAGCGCGUGACAAACACUGGCGCACAAAAGCCAAGAAUCGAACCAAACACCGGCUGAGCGCGGCAAAAACUUUAAAUAAGCGUUUGCUCUUUUUCUCUAUGUACCUGAGCUUAAAGAGAACACCAUCAGUUGGUUGUCAAAAUAGCGCAGUUUGCAGUGAAAUCGAAGGAAUGUCUGUUCUUUUGCCAGUGUCGUCCUGGCGCCGAUGUCUUCUGUAAGCGACUUGGUCUGCGUGCAUUUGAUCCUGCGUGCACGCGUUAGAUUAUACAUGUGCAUAAAAUUUAUUACCGGAGAAAAUAAUUGACUACGUCGGAGCUUUGCAUUAUGCUCUUAAAAUAUGUAUGUAUAUGACAAAACUGGAACUAUUUAAACUGUAUGAGGAUGAAUCGCUUUUUGUGUGUGUGUUUACACAUUUUUGCACGCGUAAAAGUACAAAUAAAUAAGGUUACACAUUGGAGCAUAUAUAUGUAUGUAUGUACAUACAUAGGUUAGAAUGCAAAGAAAGCAAUACACUUACCUGUUCCACUCUCGUUGAAAGGGUUCUGCUGUACCCUGGAAUUCGUGUUGGAUCGCGGUGGGGGCUGCGGGCGCUUUUGGGCACCAUCUCUAGGCCCCAUCACAGCUCCACCCAGCAAGUGUUGCGUUUCCGGCUCCAAGUCACUGAGUAUGCUCUGUGUUACCGUCCCACUGACACGUCGCAACAAUUGCACAGGUGUCGAAUUGGAUUCAAUUUCCUGUUGCACUUUAGAAUUGUACAACUCAUCUAAAGAGUUUUUGCGAAAGCCCUGCAACUUUGGUCCAUCACUAGUCGCCACAAUAUCAUAAACAUCUAAAUUCACCACAAGUUUAAGUACAAUACACACAAUUAAUUUUUUAUUUCCAUUAUAUAUCAUAUACACGCUUUUUUUAAAGCAAUCUCUCCAAAUAAUUUUUUCGCGAAUAACAAUUGUACGAAAUUGUAGAAAA
Molecule: non-coding RNA, 1392 nt
Organism: Drosophila virilis
Lineage: Eukaryota; Metazoa; Arthropoda; Insecta; Diptera; Drosophilidae
Source: RefSeq, a predicted model, not a curated record